RNAcentral lists this ribosomal RNA (230 nucleotides) under Fusarium decemcellulare. Its description in RNAcentral is "partial 28S ribosomal RNA". It matches the Rfam family "Eukaryotic large subunit ribosomal RNA", at positions 1 to 233 of the family's 3401-position model. The record is from RNAcentral. Lineage: Eukaryota; Fungi; Ascomycota; Sordariomycetes; Hypocreales; Nectriaceae.
UUGACCUCGGAUCAGGUAGGAAUACCCGCUGAACUUAAGCAUAUCAAUAAGCGGAGGAAAAGAAACCAACAGGGAUUGCCCUAGUAACGGCGAGUGAAGCGGCAACAGCUCAAAUUUGAAAUCUGGCUCUCGGGCCCGAGUUGUAAUUUGUAGAGGAUGCUUUUGGUGCGGUGCCUUCCGAGUGCCCUGGAACGGGACGCCAUAGAGGGUGAGAGCCCCGUCUGGUUGGA